RNAcentral lists this transfer RNA (70 nucleotides) under Bupleurum longiradiatum. RNAcentral's name for it is "partial tRNA-Leu". The record is from RNAcentral. Lineage: Eukaryota; Viridiplantae; Streptophyta; Magnoliopsida; Apiales; Apiaceae.
UUUUAAAAUCAACGGAUUUUCCUCUUACUAUAAAUUUCAUUGUUGCCGGUAAUGACAUGUAGAAUAGGAC